UGAGGAAUAUUGGUCAAUGGGCGAGAGCCUCAACCAGCCAUGCCGCGUGCAGCAAGCCGGCCCUAUGGGUUGUAAACUGCUUUUAUGUGAGGAUAAACCUAUUCUUGCGAGAGUAGCUGAAGGUAUCACAUGAAUAAGGAUCGGCUAACUCCGUGCCAGCAGCCGCGGUAAUACGGAGGAUCCGAGCGUUAUCCGGAUUUACUGGGUUUAAAGGGUGCGUAGGCGGGCCCCUCAGUCAGCGGUGAAAGUCUGCGGCUCAACCGUAGGAUUGCCGUUGAUACUGGGGGCCUUGGAUUCGGUCGUGGCGGGCGGAAUGCGUGGUGUAGCGGUGAAAUGCUUAGAUAUCACGAAGAACGCCGAUUGCGAAGGCAGCUCGCCGGGCCGAAAUCGACGCUGAGGCACGUAAGCGGGGGGAUCGAACA
This 422-nucleotide ribosomal RNA is filed under the name uncultured prokaryote. RNAcentral's name for it is "bacterial SSU rRNA". It matches the Rfam family "Bacterial small subunit ribosomal RNA", at positions 355 to 774 of the family's 1533-position model. The record is from RNAcentral.